RNAcentral lists this ribosomal RNA (468 nucleotides) under uncultured bacterium. Its description in RNAcentral is "partial 16S ribosomal RNA". It matches the Rfam family "Bacterial small subunit ribosomal RNA", at positions 28 to 507 of the family's 1533-position model. The record is from RNAcentral.
GAUGAACGCUGGCGGCGUGCUUAACACAUGCAAGUCGAACGGAAAGGCCCAAGUUUGCUUGGGUACUCGAGUGGCGAACGGGUGAGUAACACGUGGGUGAUCUGCCCUGCACUUCGGGAUAAGCCUGGGAAACUGGGUCUAAUACCGGAUAGGACGAUGGUUUGGAUGCCAUUGUGGAAAGUUUUUUCGGUGUGGGAUGAGCUCGCGGCCUAUCAGCUUGUUGGUGGGGUAAUGGCCUACCAAGGCGUCGACGGGUAGCCGGCCUGAGAGGGUGUACGGCCACAUUGGGACUGAGAUACGGCCCAGACUCCUACGGGAGGCAGCAGUGGGGAAUAUUGCACAAUGGGCGCAAGCCUGAUGCAGCGACGCCGCGUGGGGGAUGACGGCCUUCGGGUUGUAAACUCCUUUCGCUAGGGACGAAGCGUUUUUGUGACGGUACCUGGAGAAGAAGCACCGGCUAACUACGUG